UGGGGAAUAUUGCGCAAUGGGCGGAAGCCUGACGCAGCGACGCCGCGUGGGGGAUGACGGCCUUCGGGUUGUAAACCUCUUUCGGCCCCGACGAAGCGUGAGUGACGGUAGGGGUAGAAGAAGCACCGGCCAACUACGUGCCAGCAGCCGCGGUAAUACGUAGGGUGCGAGCGUUGUCCGGAAUUAUUGGGCGUAAAGAGCUCGUAGGCGGUCUGUCGCGUCGAUCGUGAAAACUUGGGGCUUAACCCUGAGCUUGCGGUCGAUACGGGCAUGACUGGAGUUCGGCAGGGGAGACUGGAAUUCCUGGUGUAGCGGUGAAAUGCGCAGAUAUCAGGAGGAACACCGGUGGCGAAGGCGGGUCUCUGGGCCGAUACUGACGCUGAGGAGCGAAAGCGUGGGGAGCGAACA
RNAcentral lists this ribosomal RNA (408 nucleotides) under uncultured bacterium. RNAcentral's name for it is "bacterial SSU rRNA". It matches the Rfam family "Bacterial small subunit ribosomal RNA", at positions 355 to 774 of the family's 1533-position model. The record is from RNAcentral. RNAcentral also lists the same sequence under 1 other name.